RNA transcript from Sander lucioperca (pikeperch), 5258 nucleotides. It is a transcript of the gene named phosphoribosyl transferase domain containing 1a, with no coding region annotated. The transcript has 11 exons. NCBI's taxonomy places the organism in Eukaryota, Metazoa, Chordata, Actinopteri, Perciformes, Percidae. The record is from RefSeq and is a predicted model, not a curated record.
AAACAACGCUGUCCUUUUACGCUAAAUGACUCAAGCGUGACCCCACAGCCCACGUGGCUGACCAGGACGUCCCUAGAUUUCUUUUUCCCCUUUUUGUUUUGUGAGUGAUCGCUGACAAGAAGGCAACAAAACUGAGGUCCAUGCUACCUGUAUCCUAUCCUGAAUCUUUACUCCAGUGAAGACUGUUUUCACACUACCAUAAAUGGACAACGCAGGAAUGAAAAAAGGAAUUGUGAUAAAAGAUGACUGGCCUGGAUACAGCCUGGACCUGUUCACCUACCCCGAACACUACCACGAAGACAUAGAGAGUGUUUAUAUUCCACAUGGGGUAAUCAUGAACAGGGUGGAGCGUCUGGCCCGCUAUGUCAUGGAUGAUUUUGAGGACAACAUAAUGGUGCUGUGCGUCUUGAAGGGAGGCUACAAGUUCUGUGCAGAUCUGGUGGAGUUCCUCAAGGUUCUCGGCCGCAACUCCAACAAGUACCUGGAGACCCGGGUGGAGUUCAUCCGUCUGAAGAGCUACCAAAAUGACCAAUCAACAGAGGAGCUGCACAUCAUAGGAAGCCGAGAUCUGUCUUUCCUGCGUGGAAAGAGUGUGCUCAUUGUUGAGGCCAUAGUUGACACAGGAAAGACCAUGAAGGCCCUUCUGCAGCAUGUGGAGACCUUCGAACCCAAGAUGAUCAAGGUCUCAGGUCUGUUGGUGAAGAGGGUCCCUAACAUGGCUGACAGUCUGACAGACUAUGUUGGAUUUGAAAUCCCCAACCACUUUGUUGUUGGUUAUGCCUUGGACUACAAUGAAUACUUCCGUGACCUGAAUCAUAUCUGUGUCAUCAGCAAGACUGGGAAGAUGAAGUACAAGGUUUAAGAAGUAAUGCACUGUUUUAUAUUAGCAGCAGUUUGUCUACCUUCUUCAGCAAUAAGAAAGAAAUGCUGGCCACCAGAAGAGAACUGUUGGUGACAGAUGGAGAGAGCUUAUGGACGUUGGCAUCCCCGUGCCCGGAUGACGCCCACUCUGACUCAUGGAAAACAGUGAGCGCAGCAGGCAGGCCGAACAGUGGCUCCUCACCACACUGUAUCUAUUUGUUCCCAACUUUAAUCAGGCCUUACUGGAAAUCAGAACUAAGUACAUGAGAGUUUGGCAACGCUGACAUAACAAUUUCUACAUUGAAAUGCAAUCUCACAAACAGGUAAACUAUACAUAUUAUGUUGAAAAUGACACUGACUGACCCAUCACAACUCACUUCUGCUCCAGCAAGCACAAACUGAAGAGAAACAAAACUUUUUGAAGGCCAAAUUUAUUUAAAACCCAUCUGUUCUUUCAUCAAAAAAAUCCUAAAUUACAAUACCUAAUAAUAAAUUCUCUUUAUUUCACUGAAUCAUAUGCAAACUGUUGUGUUUUUACAAGGUUUGUAAUGCUGCAAUUAAACUCUGAUCCCUUGAUCUCUGGGGGAGAAUGUUCACUGUAAAGGCUAGACAUCAUAAUAACUGCAGUCUCAGUGCUCUGAACUACAAACACACACACACACACACACACACACACACAGCGGUAUUUUGUAUGUUCUGUUGCCAUCGUUGGGGUGAUUAAGAGAGUCAAUUGUGCAUUUCGACAGACAGACCAACACGCUUCACCUCGCACAACGUGCACUCGGGGAGUGUUAGCAUGUGGCUAUGCACUCUUGAAUCUUAAUCACCUGAAACUCCAAACAGCCAACACAUCACGUAACAGGAACGCAUGCACACACACUGGUUAUUCAGUGUGAAGAUGUUGGAGGGUUUGUGACGAUGGGAUACAACAUUCCAACUUAAGAUAGUGCAAUAAUUAGCGUCUCUUAACCCAAGACCCUUCAAUGCUCCACACAGACCACAAAGGUCUGCAGUGACUAAUGGCUAAAUAAAACACUAUGUCAUAAGUCAUAUCAUAAAUUUUGUGUUAUUCAAAUAUUAAAUGUGUUUUCCUCACUUUUUACAGACAUGUUUCUAAGCCAAAGAUAAUGGUCCAGCUCCAGCUACAAGGCCUCUCCAAGUUAAAUGACCUGAUAAAUGAGUUGCUAUUUGGAUAAUAUGAGUUCUGGGAGGUUUGGAGAGCUCAGAUUUCAUGUUGUGCUUUCAAAAUGCUCUCAGGUUUUACGCUUGUAGUCCUAAACAACAUCUUCACUAAUAUGCCUACAUUUAGAGGAACGCUAGAUUCAGUGAGGUUUUAUUACUUGUCUUUGACUCGUAAGGUGCAGAGGAGUGAGAUAAGCAAGAGGGAAGAAACUCAACAAAUCACACAGCUUUUUUUGGUUGGGUGCUACCUGUGCAGCCUCAGCCACAAAGACACCCAUUGUACCUCCGACUACAACCCUGUGUCCUUAUUAUUAAACAUCAGCACUUGGCGGCAGUGGUUAACUUAUCCCAGCACUGAUGCCCAGGCAGAGGCCAUUAUCUUUCACCUUGAUGCAGUGUUUGGUGAAAGCGAGAUGGGACAAAAAGCCUUGCAGGUUUCACAUGCUGCGGCUUUGUAGUGCUCUGUCAGGGGAACUGAGGAUAGGGCCGACUGUGGAAAGUAGGCUGCAGGUAAACUGUGCUCAGCACAAAAGGAACAAAACGGGAAUUGUACAUUUGAAUGGCCACACAUUCAUGCAUUUGACAUAUGAAGCCUGUGGUUAGAGACAGAGCAUUGGUAUUUAAUUUCACAUCACCAGCAUAACAGAUAGGCCAUGUUUAGGCCUACUCCCAAAACCUCAUUUUAUUGUUCUGCCUCUAAAAGAAUAGUUUGACCUUUUAGGAAAUACGCUAAUUUGCGUUUUUGCCAAGAGUUAGCUGAGAAGAUCAAUUCCAUUCUUAUAUCUGUUAAAUAUAAAGCUACCGCUAGGUGUUGGCUUAACAUAAAGACAGGAGGCUGGGAGAAACAUCUAGCCUGGCACAAUUACUUUGUGGACUCCUACACUUUGAUUUUUGUACAGAUUAAACAAAGAACAUCAUUUAGUGAGCUAGAAGUGCUCUGAGGCAGAUCUUUGUUAUAUUUGGACAUAGCCAGGUUAGCUAUUUCUUGUUUCACAAGUCUUUAUGUUAGGCUUUGCUCACCAUCUUCUGGCUGUAGCUUUAUAUUUAAAAUAAUAGUUGGACAUUUUGGCAAAUUCACUUUCUGGCUGAGAGUUGUUGUUAGAUGAGAAAAUUGAUAUGGUAAAUCGAAUGUAGGUCUAGCUGAAGCCAACAGCUUAGCUUAGCUUCACAUAAAGAGUGAAACAAGAGGAAGCUAGCUAGCUUGGCCAGGGGUAGUAACUGCCUGGAGUCCUACACUUUGGUUUUAGAAGUACUGAAAGGCAGAUUUGUUUUUACUAUGGACAGAUCCAAGCUAGCUUUUCCCCCCUGCUUCGAGUCUUUAUGCUAGGCUAAGCUAACAGGUUUCCUGGCUGCUAGCUUCAUAUAAAACAGACAAACAUGAGGCCAAUAUCGAUCUUCUCUAACUCUCAGUAAGAAAGCAAACUUUUUAUUUCCCAUCUUGAGCAGCGUCAAAGCUACAUGAUUUUGAAUCUUUUGUGUGCUUCUGUUGCAUUUCUAAUAUAAAUGAAGCAGCCUCAAUUUAAAAUCUAGAACAUUUAUCUGACCAUAAUUUAGCUAGCAGACCGCUAAACCAUCCCAGUUAGGAACUUAAUAAAUACUGCUUCACUGACGCAUCUUGGUACACAAAUAGAAAGAACAUCCUCUCCAGUGUUCAUUGUGUUCCAAUUAGGGAAUGGCUGACCAGAGGGCUUGAUAGAUUGACUGCUUCUGGGUUUCAUCCAGUCAUCAAACUCAGUGCCAGAUCCACUUAUACAACCUGGAGUAGGGAGUGAUCCUCUUAAACUCUCAACUCAACUACAGUUUAAAGAAUCCUUUAUGAAUCAAAUAUAUAUUGUUUUGCAUGAAGAAGUGUUUAAAACCGGUUUCACAAGCAUGCUGUGCUGCAGAGUCGUUGCCACCUGUCAUAGUCCUAACACUGCUGGGCUUUGAAUUUGGACUUCAUGUGAUGCCCCAAUCCAGCCAAACAUUUUGCUGCCACGAGAGCUCAUAAUCUCUCUUCUGCUGAAUUUUUUGAGUCACUCUGGCUCUGCAACUACACAUUUGAUAAAAGACUUAGCAGUGAAAGUUCAUACAAAUGCUUUAAAAAAUUUAAAUAUUAUUAAUUAUUAGAAAAAUCUGGAUAGAAAAAAGUGUAAUAAAGUUACAGUGCACAUAAUGCAGAGCAAUACAAUAAAGACUGUAAUGAUAUAAGGCAACACAAAAGCAUCUUAAACGAUACAGUAGACAUGCAUUCAUUAAUUCGGGCAGACUAUAACUCCUCAGUGAGCUUUGCUCACCACUCAUUGAUCUGAAAUCCUCUCUCUUCACUUUGCCAUUCAUAAAAACAACACUGCACUGCUAUAACAGUGUCCUGCACAGAGGAGAGUGUACUCAGUAGCUCAAGUGGGCCAUGUGAUUUUUUGGGAAAGUACCACAGUGUCUGUUGGUUGAUUUUACUGGUGAACCAGUAAUUUUUUUAAAUAGUUUUGUAGUCUUGUGAAUUUUUAUAAACGUAUGUAAUCCAGAAAGAUUCAUAUUGUGAGUUGUUUUGUGGGAAAAUACCCACCAUAUGUUAUACAAUUGCUUAUAGCUGGGAAAACUUAAGUUGUGAUCUUGAGUUUAGUUUCUGAUGCACAAUCACGCUUUAUGUCAAAUCAAUAAGAUCUUCUUGCUGCAUUAAUAACGUGGUAUGUGUUUAAUAAACAAAUUGCAUUAAAUGAAUAUGAACCUCAUGUCUACCAUCACAUUAUGCAGAGUCCCACUUACAUCAGUUUAAGUUCUCCAUUGUCUGGAUGAGGGUGCACAGGCUCUUUAUACAAUAGCUCCUCUCUGAAACCAGGGAAACCUCGCCACAGUGUGGGUCAAAAGAGUCCUAUUGUCCUAUCUUCUAUUGUGCUGCUGGAGUAGCCUGCAAACAGAACACUGUCAGCCUUUGUCUUUGUCCGGAUCAGCUGUGCAGCCCUUUUUUUUUCACGCUCUGUGAAGUCCCAUGUGGCUGCCAUGCCCUACAUGUCGCAAUAAUAAAGUUAAGGACACUGCUGUUAGAGUUGAUAAUGGAUAGGCAAAUAUGUUUCUCUAGUUGAACGUUAGGAAAUUGGAGAGUUCAGCAUGUGUGUUGGGCCUCAAUGCUUUUUCCUUAUUCUUCCCUCACAAGGAUGUCGCUGUGAUUCCAUUUGCUCACUUUAAAGGUCUGAAAGGCUUAAUGACAGUGUGGAAAUAAAGUGUUUAUCAGCUCA